AUACGGAGGGUGCAAGCGUUGUUCGGAAUCACUGGGCGUAAAGGGCGCGCAGGCGGUUUGGUAAGUCAGAUGUGAAAGCCCACGGCUCAACCGUGGAAGUGCAUUUGAAACUGCCAGACUUGAGUACCAGAGGGGAAAGUGGAAUUCCCGGUGUAGAGGUGAAAUUCGUAGAUAUCGGGAGGAAUACCGGUGGCGAAGGCGACUUUCUGGCUGGAUACUGACGCUGAGGUGCGAAAGCGUGGGUAGCAAACAGGAUUAGAAACCCCUGUAGUCC
This 274-nucleotide ribosomal RNA is filed under the name uncultured bacterium. Its description in RNAcentral is "partial 16S ribosomal RNA". It matches the Rfam family "Bacterial small subunit ribosomal RNA", at positions 523 to 796 of the family's 1533-position model. The record is from RNAcentral.